CGCGGAGUGGAGCAGUUGGCAGCUCGUCGGGCUCAUAACCCGAAGGUCGCAGGUUCAAGUCCUGCCUCCGCAA
RNAcentral lists this transfer RNA (73 nucleotides) under Cupriavidus agavae. It matches the Rfam family "tRNA". From Rfam's summary of the family: Transfer RNA (tRNA) molecules are approximately 80 nucleotides in length. Their secondary structure includes four short double-helical elements and three loops (D, anti-codon, and T loops). The record is from Rfam by way of RNAcentral. Lineage: Bacteria; Pseudomonadati; Pseudomonadota; Betaproteobacteria; Burkholderiales; Burkholderiaceae.